This 26-nucleotide non-coding RNA is filed under the name Cricetulus griseus (Chinese hamster). Lineage: Eukaryota; Metazoa; Chordata; Mammalia; Rodentia; Cricetidae. The record is from RNAcentral.
GAACCAAUGGAACAAGACUUAACUAC